GCUCUGUUUACAGAGAGUGGCGCACGGGUGAGUAACAUGUGGGAAUAUGCCUUUUGGUACGGAAUAACUUUUGGAAACGAAAGCUAAUACCGUAUGGUCCCUUCGGGGUAAAGAUUUAUCGCCAAAAGAGUAGCCCGCACUAGAUUAGCUAGUUGGUAAGGUAAGAGCUUACCAAGGCGACGAUCUAUAGCUGGUUUGAGAGGAUGAUCAGCCACACUGGAACUGAGACACGGUCCAGACUCC
This 243-nucleotide ribosomal RNA is filed under the name uncultured bacterium. Its description in RNAcentral is "partial 16S ribosomal RNA". It matches the Rfam family "Bacterial small subunit ribosomal RNA", at positions 68 to 339 of the family's 1533-position model. The record is from RNAcentral.